This 468-nucleotide ribosomal RNA is filed under the name uncultured bacterium. RNAcentral describes it as "partial 16S ribosomal RNA". It matches the Rfam family "Bacterial small subunit ribosomal RNA", at positions 28 to 507 of the family's 1533-position model. The record is from RNAcentral.
GACGAACGCUGGCGGCGUGCUUAACACAUGCAAGUCGAACGGAAAGGCCCUGCUUUUGUGGGGUGCUCGAGUGGCGAACGGGUGAGUAACACGUGAGUAACCUGCCCUUGACUUUGGGAUAACUUCAGGAAACUGGGGCUAAUACCGGAUAGGAGCUCCUGCUGCAUGGUGGGGGUUGGAAAGUUUCGGCGGUUGGGGAUGGACUCGCGGCUUAUCAGCUUGUUGGUGGGGUAGUGGCUUACCAAGGCUUUGACGGGUAGCCGGCCUGGGAGGGUGACCGGCCACAUUGGGACUGAGGUACGGCCCAGACUCCUACGGGAGGCAACAGUGGGGAAUAUUGCACAAUGGGCGGAAGCCUGAUGCAGCAACGCCGCGUGCGGGAUGACGGCCUUCGGGUUGUAAACCGCUUUCGCCUGUGACGAAGCGUGAGUGACGGUAAUGGGUAAAGAAGCACCGGCUAACUACGUG